UACGUAGGGUGCAAGCGUUACUCGGAAUCAUUGGGCGUAAAGCGCAUGUAGGCGGCUUUGUAAGUCUGAUGUGAAAGCCCUGGACUCAAUCCAGGAAGUGCAUUGGAUACUGCAAGGCUAGAGUACAAGAGAGGUGGACGGAAUUCCUGGUGUAGAGGUGAAAUUCGUAGAUAUCAGGAGGAACAACAGAAGCGAAGGCGGUUCACUGGAUUGUAACUGACGCUGAGAUGCGAAAGUGUGGGGAGCAAACAGG
This 253-nucleotide ribosomal RNA is filed under the name uncultured bacterium. RNAcentral's name for it is "partial 16S ribosomal RNA". It matches the Rfam family "Bacterial small subunit ribosomal RNA", at positions 524 to 776 of the family's 1533-position model. The record is from RNAcentral.